Long non-coding RNA from Mauremys reevesii (Reeves's turtle), 711 nucleotides. RefSeq lists it as uncharacterized. The record is from RefSeq and is a predicted model, not a curated record. The transcript has 6 exons. Lineage: Eukaryota; Metazoa; Chordata; Testudines; Geoemydidae.
AGCGAAGUUAACACCAUGUAGGGGAGCAGGUGCCUUAAAGUCUGGCUUCGCCCCCAAAAGGGAAAUGCAAGACUGCAUACAGAUGGCACCACUGAGUUCUCUUUUGAGAUUCCUCUGGAAACCCUGACCAAAGGAGAAGAAAGAGAUAACCUACUAGAAGGUAAUGAAGGCUAAGCUGCUACUUCAUCUAACCAUCUGUCACCUGCGUUAGGACUGGAUAUAGGCCUUCUGGGACCUGGGCCACACAAGCCUCUGAGCACCAGCCCGACAGGAAUUAAGGCUCACACACCUCUCCUCUCCACCCUUCUGGAAGUUUUUGCAAAUAGGCAGCCUUCACCAGAGUGGAUUAAAACAGGAUUGUAACUCUUAUCGCCAGGCAAGGAAACAAAGUACCAACAAGGAACACGUGAAUUCUAUGACACUGCUGGCUUCCCAACUGCCUGGGGAGAUAAAGUCUACACACAAAUGGCUAAUAAUGCAUCAGUGCAUAAUGUGAUUCCAAUGUCUUCUACUCUACAAAGCUUCUACUGUUCCAGUACCAGUGACUAUCUACCAUCCAACAUCCCACCUGUGAAGAAGUAACCAGGCGUGAACUCUUGCAUAUUAACUUAUAAGAAUGUUCAGUAAUUGAUCCACAUGCCUAUGGCUUCAUUAUCUAUUCAUCUUAAGUCACCAAUUUUCAUCUGACUUCCAUAUACUGGACUUCAUGAC